This 341-nucleotide long non-coding RNA is filed under the name Gossypium raimondii (Peruvian cotton). Its description in RNAcentral is "long non-coding RNA (GRAI_LNC006892)". Lineage: Eukaryota; Viridiplantae; Streptophyta; Magnoliopsida; Malvales; Malvaceae. The record is from RNAcentral.
GCCAUUUCUCGUGGAUGUCCUUCUCUAAGGGUUCUUUCCUUGUGGAAUUUGGCUACUGUUGGAGAUGGUGGUCUUUGUGAGAUUGCUGAGGGAUGUCACCAGCUACAGAAGCUUGACCUUUGCCACUGUCCUGCUAUUACUAAUGAGUCUUUGCUUUCCCUUGCAAAGGGCUGCCCUGAUUUGACUGAUCUGACCAUUGAAGGUUGUGCAAACAUUGGAAAUGAAGGUAUCCAAGCAAUAGCUCGCUGCUGUCCCAACCUAAAGUCUGUUUCGAUCAAAGAUUGCCCCCUCCUUGGAGACCAAGGAAUUGCAAGCCUUUUGACUUCAGCCUCAUAUUCCCU